Oncorhynchus mykiss (rainbow trout) is the source of this 645-nucleotide non-coding RNA. The record is from RefSeq and is a predicted model, not a curated record. Lineage: Eukaryota; Metazoa; Chordata; Actinopteri; Salmoniformes; Salmonidae.
CCAGACAAGACACAGCAACAGAAUAGGAUAUGAUGGAGAGAGACACCAGACAAGACACAGAGACAGCAACAGAAUAGGAUACGAUGGAGAGAGAAACCAGACAAGACACAGAGACAGCAACAGACGACACAGAGAAAGUGAUGGAGAGAGACAGAAGAAUAGAGUUCCAGACAGUUGUAGAAUGUAUGCCAAGGCACAUUGUAAGAGCUGUAAAGAGAGAGGGAGGGAGAGAGAACAGGCAGAACCUGAUAUGUAAAUGAGCAGAGCAAAUGAAACUAACUUUUGACGACCUGAUGAUCAUCCAGACUCUGUUUCUAUUGAGAGAUACAAGGCUGGUUGAAUGAGUUGCCUAUGAAAGCUACUUCAUCUGUAAGAAAACAGGCGUCUGCACCAGUGACUGGAUCAGUGCUCUAAAAUGAGUCUCUCUGGGGAGAGAGAGGAAGGGGGCCCUGCCUCUAAAAUGAAUGUCUCUGGGGAGAGAGAGGAAGGGGGCCCUGCCUCUAAAAUGAGUCUCACUGGGGAGAGAGAGGAGGGGGGCCCUGCCUCUAAAAGGAAUGUCUCUGGGGAACAUGGCACCAAAUCUAAGAGGCUGUCACGCUGUCUAGUCACAGAGGAAGCCUGUGAUUCUCUGGUCUCAGCUCUGAG